CGCUGCUCUAGGCUGCGACGUCUCUGUGGUGGAAAGGCCCGCUUGGCCAGGCGUUGGAAUUCGCUUCUCUGGGCAGGCGCUGCGUGUCCUCGAGCGCCCCCUGGUUGCAGCUCGGCAUUUAGUUCGUAGGACUUAAGCCUGAAAGUAAGCAAGCCGCGAAACUAUGACACAGCUGGAUAUUGCUGGCUGGGGCUGAUGUAGUCCAAAAUAUCCGGAGAGCAGCUCAUUGGCAAAGGCUGGCACAGACACUCGAUGAUACUGGCGGUCGCUGUUUUAAGUGUCUCGGUUUGCGCAGCACGGUUUGCACAGCACUGAGAUUUGUAACACAAGCUUCUGUUCUGGAGGAUGGGUGGGGAAACACUAUGAGCUUCAGAUUAAUCUCCUUGUAUAAUCUCCACCAUCUCUCUGUUGAGCUUAAAUUAUUAUCCGCUACAGUACAUUAAAUAUUUUUAUCCCUUCACCAUCCCCCUAAAUUGUUGUCUCCCCCUUCCUUUUUUUUUGCUCCUUGCAUUUCCCUCUCCCUCCGUGUUAGUCACAGACACACAAAUGACUGAAAAAAGCAAAACAAAAAACGCCCGGGUAUAUUUGCAACCAUCUAUCUGCCUAAAAGCUGCAAUUUUGCCUUCACAACAGUGCUGCUGAUCGUUCUCUUUUGCAUAAUGUGUAAACUCUGGGUGCUUCGUGGCGGCUGUAUAAACUUUAAAAACAAAGGCCAUGAUCCUUGACAAAACGAAGAUGUUUUUUCACAUGCUUUUGACUCCAGUAUGCUCAGUCUUAAAACUCCCCCCAGUGGGUUAAAAAUGGGUGCUUCAUUUUGGCUGGAUCUGCCCUGUUCCCCCCCCAAAAAACGGCAGCAGAAAUGCCAUACAGCCUAUCUCAUCAUAUUUCUGAGAAUGAGGGUGGACAUGUUUGAGAGGGGGCAGUCCUCUAAUUGAAGUUCUGUCCGUCCAAGUAUCAUUUCAGGACCAUGUACCCUAAGAAGGGGUGGGGUGCUGAAGAACAUAAGAGGUGUACUGUUCUCAUGGUGCCCGGCCAGAUGCACCUGGAAAGCCUGGAUCUGCCUAACAUCACCCUCCCCAUUUGAGGUCCUUAGCAAUUGUUAUUCAGAGGCACACUGUUAUGUACUGAAGUUCUCACCCUGGGCCAGCAGGGGGAUACUGUGGAUAGUUUUCACUCAGGUCCACAUAUGCAAAUAAGGAAUUGAAAGUGACGUUCAGUGAUUGGAUAGUUACAGAAAGUUGUUACUGUUGCCUUGUAGUUGAGCUCUAUAUAAGCAGGUUGGCUGAACCCUUCAGUUCAGUUCUGUUCUGGCCUGUGAAUAAACAAGAGCUGUUUGAAGAAUCGCUGUGUCGUCUGAUAUGUUCACCCACAACUUAACACACACUGCCUCUGACCAGUGGAGGUGCAUCACAGCCAUUGUGACUAGCAUGGACAGCACCAGGACAGGGGGGGGCAGGGGGGAAGCACUCCCCAAACAACGAAGCAUGCAUCCCCAUUUGCCCCCCCCCCCAGUGUUGGACUCACCCGCCAACAUUUCUCCUAUGAAAAUAGGGACGUCCUAUUCCAUAAUAAAAUUUUUAUUAUUUCCAGCCCAUCUAUUUGACUGAGUUGGCCCGGCCACUCUGGGCGGCUUCCAACAUAUAUAAAAUACUUCCUGUUAAGUUGUGGGUGAACAUAUCAGACGACACAGAGAUUCUUCAAACAGCUCUUAUUUAUUCACAGGCCAGAAUAGAACUGAACUGAAGGGUUCAGUCAGCCUGCUUAUAUAGAGCUCCAGUACAAAGUAACUGUAACAAUUUUCUAAAACUAUCCAAUCACUGAACGUCACUUUCGAUCCCUUAUUUGCAUAACUAUCUACAGUAUCCCCCUGCUGGCCCAGGGUGAGAACUUCAGUACAUAACACUUCCCUAUACAGGGCUGCCUUCAGAUGUCUUUUAAAGGUUGUAUGGUUACUUAUCUCCUUGGCUCGGGAGUCGCAUAACUCCAUACCCUCCAACAUUUCUCUGAUGGUAGAAUAGGGACAUCCUAAGGAAAAAGCGGGACCUUCCAGGAUCAAAUCAGAAACCGGGAUGGCUUCUGUAAAUCCAGGACUGUCCCUGGAAAAUAGGGACACUUGGAGAGUCUGCUGGACUCCUGUCAUUAACAUAUACAGUUACUUCUCUUUCAGAGAUCUUAACUUGGAGAUCACAACUUGCUCUCCUGGAAAUAUACUUUGCCCCUUCUUCUGUGUUGCUGCCCCAAAAUUUGUUUCUGGUGCCUUAUCCUCCAUAACCUUUUCUCAUCUCCUUUUAAAGCCAUCCAAGGACAGUAGGAUAACUACACAAGAUGAGCCAGGUAACUUUUAUGAAUGAAUGAAUGAAUGGGAAAGGGACCGUUCAUUCAUUUUGCACGAUUUCUCAGCUGUGACUCAGUGUGGCAAAUCACAGCCUUUGUGCUUUGUGUGGGAGCCUUGCAUCUUAAUGUGGCAAUUACCUUUCCAAUUAGUGUUUUGUAGUGCAAAAGGGGGCACGGAGGUGUGCAUUCGCAAGCCUCUGUGGUGUGAUUGCAGCACAGCCAUAACAAAGAAAUCCUUCCUGCCCUGGGGAGCACCUUUCCUUAGAAAGCGGCAUAUUAGUUGUUUUGGUUAGUUAAGGCCCUGUAGGACAUUUCCUGCUUUAAGGCUGAAUGAUCACCCCAGGCCCUGCAUCUCCACUGCAUAGCAGAACACACGCCAGGGGGGAAAUAAGGAAGAAUGGCAUAUGGAUACAGAUAGUUACACAUUUCUGAGCAGUGAGAGACUCCAGGAGUUCAAAGAACUCUUUUGGGGUUCGGUUCCUUGGAGUGAAGGUCAGCGGAGACUGUGAUGUAUUUAGGAUAUAGGCAACUCCCCAUUUAAGCACAUUCAAGGCACAUGUUUUUUUUUCUGUUUCCUGGAUGUUGUCACCAGCUCUGCUCCUGGAUUUGAUUUCGGUUCAGAAGAGUCCUUCGGUUGAGAUACUGCUCCAUAUCAACAGAAUGGCUGCCAGAACCACCACUGUCAUCAGCUGAAGAUUUAAGAACUGUAACUUUAGGGACUUGUAUUUGAGUUUGCUUUCCCCUCCUC
Non-coding RNA from Podarcis lilfordi (Lilford's wall lizard), 3082 nucleotides. NCBI's taxonomy places the organism in Eukaryota, Metazoa, Chordata, Lepidosauria, Squamata, Lacertidae. The record is from the annotation of a GenBank genome assembly.